Molecule: ribosomal RNA, 440 nt
Filed under: uncultured bacterium
Lineage: Bacteria
Description: partial 16S ribosomal RNA
Rfam family: Bacterial small subunit ribosomal RNA
Source: RNAcentral
CCUACGGGUGGCAGCAGUGGGGAAUAUUGCACAAUGGGGGAAACCCUGAUGCAGCAACGCCGCGUGAGUGAAGAAGUAUUUCGGUAUGUAAAGCUCUAUCAGCAGGGAAGAAGAUGACGGUACCUGAUUAAGAAGCCCCGGCUAAGUACGUGCCAGCAGCCGCGGCAAUACGUAGGGGGCAACCGUUAUCCGGAUGUUCUGGGUGUAAAGGGGGCGCAGACGGGGGUGCAAGCCAGGAGUGAAAGGCCGGGGCCCAACCCCGGGACUGCUCUUGAAACUGCGUGGCUGGAGUGCAGGAGGGGCAGGCGGAAUUCCUGGUGUAGCGGUGAAAUGCGUAGAUAUCAGGAGGAACACCGGUGGCGAAGGCGGCCUGCUGGACUGCAACUGACGUUGAGGCCCGAAAGCGUGGGGAGCAAACAGGAUUAGAUACCCGGGUAGUC